UACGUAGGGGGCUAGCGUUGUCCGGAAUUAUUGGGCGUAAAGAGCUCGUAGGCGGUUUGUCGCGUCUGCUGUGAAAACUCGGGGCUUAACUCCGGGCCUGCAGUGGGUACGGGCAGACUAGAGUGCGGUAGGGGAGACUGGAAUUCCUGGUGUAGCGGUGAAAUGCGCAGAUAUCAGGAGGAACACCGGUGGCGAAGGCGGGUCUCUGGGCUGGAACUGACGCUGAGGAGCGAAAGCGUGGGGAGCGAACAGG
RNAcentral lists this ribosomal RNA (253 nucleotides) under uncultured bacterium. RNAcentral's name for it is "partial 16S ribosomal RNA". It matches the Rfam family "Bacterial small subunit ribosomal RNA", at positions 524 to 776 of the family's 1533-position model. The record is from RNAcentral.